RNAcentral lists this long non-coding RNA (1406 nucleotides) under Numida meleagris (helmeted guineafowl). RNAcentral's name for it is "lncRNA (ENSNMEG00000003283.1)". Lineage: Eukaryota; Metazoa; Chordata; Aves; Galliformes; Numididae. The record is from RNAcentral.
GCCCCAUCUGCUCUCGCAGCGCAGCGGCUGUCAGCUCGCCGGGGGGGGGGGGGGAGGAGGGGAACUGGCUCGGCACCCCCCUCUGACCCGGAGGACGGGUGGCCCUGUGCCAGCCCCCAAAAUCUCGGCAUCGUGCUGGAGCGGCGGGGGGAGCGCAGUGGCACGGUGCCACCUGGCAGCGCUGCGGCCGGCAGGGCCACGCGGACGUCACGCGCGCUCCUCGAGGUCCUCAUAAACACGGUGACGCACCGGAGCUGCCCUCUGGCCCUGCUCCCCACCAACCGCCGGGGCCACGCGGGGAGACCCCCCCCCCACCCUCUCGCGUCACUCUCCCCGGCGCUGGAAGACACCGGAUUGGGGUCCCCAGGAGCUGGGACACGGGGGACAAAGGGCUCUGUUUCUGGCAGCAGCCCCCGUGCAAGGACAGGCAGCCAAACCGGGGCUCCCAGUACGACCAGUGCUGGUUCCCAGCACAGCGCUGUGGCUGCGAGGACGGCAGCUGCAGCACAGACCCCAUCCCAGCGCCGGCACGGGGCGGCCGAUGCGGAGGAGGCGCGUGGCCGUCCCACGGGAGCGGGCUGGGCGCUGUGCCCCUGGCUGUGCGUCCCCCGUGAUAUCACCGCCCCGGCACGCCGCGCUGCUCUGCCGGCUGCGGAACAGGGCCAGGCAGCGGGGGGGGGGACCGGGGGGGCCCCUUGCACCCAGCCCGCUGCUUGGAGACGCGGUGCACACACAGCACCCAUAUGUGCAGAGCCGCGUGCACGCAAGUGUGGCGGCAGCACAGCCCUGCACCCAUCGCCGUGUGCAGCGUGCCCCCUCUCCAUGCACACACGCAGCCCCACUGCGUGCAUUGCACGCACAUACAUGCAAGUUGGCUGCGUGUUCUGUGUGCACACGCAUGCUCAGGGCCCCCGGGACACGUGUGGGGUGGAGGACGGCUGCGGGCGGUUUGGGCGAGCGCUGUGGGGCCGGGCUGGGAGCGGUGUGGGGCUGGGAGCGGUGUGGGGCUGGAGGCUGCCGGCCGGCCAGGGGGGUGGGGUGAGACAUUCCUUGCGGCGCUUGUUAUUUUAUCUGGUUCAAAGUCAGUUCCUGGAAUGUUUUUAAUUCCAGGAUCCCGUCCCUGCGCCGGCAGUUCCCGCCCCGGCCUCCCCAACCGCCUCCGCGCCCCACACUGGGGCUGCAGGGCCGCAGCCCAGCCCCACGCCGUGCCCCACAGCCACGGGGCCCCGCGGAGGGGCUGAGCCCACAGCUGCACCCGCGUGGGUGUGGGGGGCUAUGCACCCCAAAGCGAUCCCCGAGGCGAGGAGUCGGGUCGGGCUGCACCCAUGGGUGCCCCUCAGUUGGAGGCCGCCUGCAGCCCCACGUGGGGGUUGGGGUUCGCCCCCGCGAGCACGGUGGGACCCCGC